CUGCUGUCCUGGCGCAGUGGGGAGGAGGGCAGGCCUGGGGGCUGGACAGCAGCAGGGCCAGGGUGGUCUAAGCAAGGGGAGACGCGCCUCUGCUUCCUGCGACCUUGGCGGUGAGCCUGGGGACAGGGGUGAGGCCAGAGACGGACGGACGCAGGGGCCCGGCCCAAGGCGAGGCAGAACAGCGGCACUGAGGCAGAAAGGAAGAGGGCGGUGUGUUCACCCGCAGCCCAAUCCAUCACUCAGCAACUCCUAGACGCUGGUAGAAAGUUCCUCCGAGGAGCCUGCCAUCCAGUCGUGCGUGCAGAGGCAGCAUGAAACAGUGGGAUGUGCAGAGAGAAGACCUGGGUCCAGUAGCUCUGACACUCCUCAGCUGUAGAAACCUUGACAACUCUGCACAUCAGUUGUACAAUGGAACGGUAUUUUUUACUCUUCAUGUCUGAAAAGGCUAUGAUAAAGAUCAAGUAAGAUAUUCCAAAGAAUUUUAUAUUAUAAAGCAGUUUACACAUGUGAAUUACAAGUACCUCUCCUCCAACAAAGGUUGUGAAAAAAGACUAACUGUCAAUUACUACGGAAUACUUAGUACGCAUCUUCCACCAUCUUUUGAUAAGGUUUAUUUGCAAGAUGUCAGGCCAGUCAAGCACCACAAAAGUGACUUCUGAGUGCUCAACCUCUUUCAGAGGCUCAUGGGACUUCCAGAGAAUGUCCCAAGGUAUUGGUGGUUGGAAAUUUCCUCUUAUGCUUUUCUUCCCACAAGAAUCACCGCUAGCUUUCCCACGAUGCUUUGGGCAAGGGGAUUCUUCCUGUUACUUUCAUUACAGGUAGAGAAUCCAUCCAUCAGACUGGCAGGACCUCUAAAGGGGCACUUCAUCUGUUUCUCAGAAUAAAUGGUCCAUUCCCAAGUUCAAUCAAACGCUAUGCCUCUCUUCUGUCUUUUGUUUAAGUCUUCCCAGAAAGUUUCCAUGAUACCUCCAUAAUGAACUUUUUCAGUGCUUAACAGACUUCACUGUUGGAAGGCUCUUCCUUCUGUUUAAUCUCAGUCUAUUUCUUUUAACCCUAUUAUUGAGUUGUGAGGGGCUGGUUAUGAUGUAGUCCAGCAUAGCUGUCUCAGAAAUGGUUCAGAGACCAUUGCACCAGCAGAUUUGCUGGGCUCUAGCACUAGUCCUUCAUUGAUUAGCUGAGUCAUGUUGGGCAUAUCACUUAAAUUUUCUAUGCCUCAAUUUCCCACCCUUUCACCUUGUCCCUCUGAGCCAUGGUUUCCUCCUCUGUAAGAGGCGAAUAGCAAUAUCUUCCCUGGCUAAAGGAGGUCAUCGACUGCUGGAUGAUUUUGUGAGCAUUUCUAUUCCAGAAGAUUAUGUUGUAAUUACUAUUUAUUUAUACAUUCUCCCACCGCACAGUGAGUUCUAAGAAGAGGGAACCCCAUCUUUUUCACCUGUCCUCUAGCAGAUAGAG
This 1449-nucleotide long non-coding RNA is filed under the name Pan troglodytes (chimpanzee). RNAcentral describes it as "long non-coding RNA NONPTRT003485". Lineage: Eukaryota; Metazoa; Chordata; Mammalia; Primates; Hominidae. The record is from RNAcentral.